Molecule: transfer RNA, 72 nt
Filed under: Treponema sp.
Lineage: Bacteria; Pseudomonadati; Spirochaetota; Spirochaetia; Treponematales; Treponemataceae
Description: tRNA-Asp
Rfam family: tRNA
About the family: Transfer RNA (tRNA) molecules are approximately 80 nucleotides in length.
Source: RNAcentral
GGCUCAGUAGUGCAGUGGUUAGCACGCAAGAUUGUCAAUCUUGCAGCCGGGGUUCAAUUCCCUGCGGAGCCG